UCUGCACUCAUUGCUGGUCCUAUGAUGCCAUCUAUUGGCGAUAACGUGCAACAGCAUAAUUAAACUAAAAGACAACUUCUGACAGGACAACAAAAAGACAGGGAAUGAGAAUAAGGGAAUAACAAAAAGACAAAAAUGGGGGGUCCACUACACUUGCAUACAAACUGAUUGUGAUGCUGUCACUCAUUUUCUAGUCUAUAUCUUGGACUGAAAAAGGAUUACAUUAUUAUGUUUCAGGUGUUUUGCCCCUGCGGUUGUGAGGAGGAUGCUGUGUAGGUGGCAGCGUGAACGUGUCACACAGACAUUGGCUAAACUACUCGGCAAACAACAAACCACACUUCACCUGGAAAACAGAGCCAGGACUCACUGUCAGAUGUCUGCAAAUGUACAGUAGGCUACACGCCAGCAGGUCUCACCAUAGUCAGCAUCAUCAAGGAUUGUCACUCCGACCUGAGAAGAGGCCCCAUAGAGACACGGACAAGGACCAGCCACUGUUGCCAGUGCACAACUGAGGACCCGACCAGCCUGCUGCCAUCUAUGAUACUAUAUAGUACCCGCGGAGCGGUCUGAAGACGUGGAGUACACUGCAGCAGGUAUCACAUGACCAAGGACUUGGACAACGUCUCUGUUUACAUCUAUAGUGUAUUACACAAGUGAGUGUACACCCCCAUAUUUCUGCAGAUGUAAUGGGACAAUAAAGACAUUUGAAAACUGAAAAUGAAGUCUGCACUUCAAGCUCAUCACAUUAAAUAAGUAAAACAGGAGCUUGGUGAGCAGACUUAAUUUUCAGUUGUCAUUUGACUUUGUUAGUCCUGCACCCAAAACUUUUUUGAGAAGGAUGUUCAUGGGUUUUUCCUUUUUAAACAAAUGUAGACAUUUUUACUACACUGAAAUGUUAUAGUUACUCUAUAUAUACCAGUGAUAUGCUUCAAUUAUG
Molecule: long non-coding RNA, 937 nt
Organism: Engraulis encrasicolus (European anchovy)
Lineage: Eukaryota; Metazoa; Chordata; Actinopteri; Clupeiformes; Engraulidae
Exons: 4
Source: RefSeq, a predicted model, not a curated record